GACAGAGGUGGCGAGCGUUGUCCGGAUUCACUGGGCGUAAAGGGCGUGUAGGCGGUCCGAUCAGUCAACUGUGAAAGGCGUCGGCUCAACCGAAGCAGUGCAGUUGAUACUGUCGGGCUGGAGCGUGGGAGAGGAAAGUGGAAUUCCCGGUGUAGCAGUGAAAUGCGUAGAUAUCGGGAAGAACACCAAUGGCGAAAGCGACUUUCUGGCCCAUUGCUGACGCUGAGGCGCGAAAGCCAGGGGAGCAAACGGG
RNAcentral lists this ribosomal RNA (253 nucleotides) under uncultured bacterium. RNAcentral describes it as "partial 16S ribosomal RNA". It matches the Rfam family "Bacterial small subunit ribosomal RNA", at positions 524 to 776 of the family's 1533-position model. The record is from RNAcentral.